This 494-nucleotide ribosomal RNA is filed under the name uncultured bacterium. RNAcentral's name for it is "partial 16S ribosomal RNA". It matches the Rfam family "Bacterial small subunit ribosomal RNA", at positions 28 to 507 of the family's 1533-position model. The record is from RNAcentral.
GACGAACGCUGGCGGCGCGCUUAACACAUGCAAGUCGAACGGAAAGGCCUGCUUUCCCUUGUGGAUUGCGGGUACUCGAGUGGCUAACGGGUGAGUAACACGUGAGUGAUCUGCCCCCAACUUGGGUAUAAGCCUGGGAAACUGGGUCUAAUUCCCGAUAGGACUGCAGGGUGGUGCCUGUGGUGGAAAACGAUUUUCUAGUGGUUGGGGAUGAGCUCGCGGCCUAUCAGCUUGUGGGUGGGGUAAUGGCCUACCAAGGCGGCGACGGGUAGCCGGCCUGAGAGGGGCGACGGCGACACUGGGACUGGGACACGGCCCAGACGGCUGCCGGCAGUAGGAGUGGGGAAGAUAGGACAAUGGGCGGGAGGCAGAUGCAGCGACGCCGCGAGGGGGAUGUCGGCGUUGGGGUUGUCUACUGCUUGCGACCGAGAGGAAGCGAACUGGUUGGAGGGGUGGUGACGGUAGUGGUAGAAGAAGCACCGGCUAACUACGUG